GCUCUAUAACACUUUCCUUUAAGUUAUAGUUUAAGAAAUAAUUAAGUAUGGAUCCGGAAAAUAAUUUAAAAUUACUGCAAUCGUGUAAUUUAUCACGUCUUUUUAAUCAUUUUGAAGGAUCUUGGCUCGCGCAAAGAUUUAAAAAGCCGAAGCCCGUGCAUCACUCUCUUACACUCUCACAUCAUCAGAAAUUAUAACCUGGGACAUCCACAAUAUUGCGAGCAUCGAGACAAUUUAAAAACACGAGUGUAAUUGGACGAGUUGGGCGCUAUAAGCAGAAUAAAUCUAUUCCUGAAGACCUCCGGUUAGAUAUUUUAUUAGAGCCAUACAAUACUCUUGGAAUUAAUUCCAGAAAAGUUGCAGAAAAGUAUGGUGUUUUAAAGACUACAGUGUGGCAACUUUUUAAAAAGGCUGCUUUUAAGCCUUAUAGAAUUUGUAUUCAUCAAAAAUACCACCCCGGUAAUCAAUUACGAAGAGUUAAUUUCUGUCAAAGAAUGCCAACAAUGAUUGACCGAGAUCGAACGUUAUUACGUCACUUAUUAUUCACGGAUGAGUGCACUUUUCCUUUAGGUCAAAACCCUAAUCGCCAGAAUCAACGGAUAUGGUCUCAAGAACCUCCGCAUAUCAUUCACGAAGGCAAAAGAUAAAUUCAACAAAAAGUUAAUGUGAGGGCUGGUGUUGUUGGUAAUGGAAUCAUCGGGCCUGUGUUUUUUGUUGGAAAUAUGGAAGGAGCAAUGUGUGAAAUGUUACUGCAAGAUACAAUAAUCCCAAUAGUGAAGAAUAUCGAGCAAGACACAGGAGAUAAUAUCUGAUUUCAACAUGAUGGAGCUCCUGCACAUAGAACUAGAAUUGCAACCAAUCUCUUGAAUCGAUCAUUUCCGAACCGAUGGAUCGGUUUAAGAAAUUAGAGAUUUGAAUGGCCACCACGUUUCCCAGACUUAACUAUUUUGGAUUUCUUUGUUUGGGGACGUAUUAAAAACAAUCUAUGGAAAUAUGAGUGCAAUACAGUAGAGCAAUUAAUGGAAGCAAUACUUGAGCUUUGCAACUCCAUAACUCCAGAGAUGCUUGACAAAACUUGGGAAGAUUACUUUGCAAGAGUUCAGUGGUGCAUCAAUGAAAACUGUGGUAUUUUCGAGCUUAAGUACAGAAUAAAUAGAACCGAAAUCUAUUGCCGAGUAUUAUGUAUGUAAGUGAGAGUGAAAAUGGGCUGAUUGUACGUUUAAGAAGCGCACAAAACAAGGACAAUGAAUUUCGUAAGCUUAUAGAGGCCGUAACGUGCAGCUAGACCAGUGGGUAUGUCAUUAGAAAUAAUAUUUUGUACAAAAUCUGUAAAGACGAUUUGUUAAUUGUAGUACCUAAGGCCAUGCAGACUCAGGUUGUCAGGCAGGCACACGAACGUGGCCACUUUGGGGUUGUUAUGUCCGACUUCGCAAACUUUUUCAAACUCAUGUUGAACACUCCUAAGGAAUAAAUAUUCCAUUUUCUCAUAAGAGAAAUCAGGAUGGGUUCAAUUGAGCGAUACAGAACGUCAUACCAGAUUUCUUUCUUCUGUCUUUCAUUCCCUUAUCCUUCUUAAGUUCCCCACUUACUUUUUACAACAAUUAUUCUAAUGCGUGGUAACACCCACAACUAGCAUUGACUUAAAUUGAUUUGCGUCAACGGGACAUCUUAUACGAUGCACCUCACCAGAAAACCCCCUCUUUUCCAAACUCGGACCCCCAUGGUCGCAGCGUUAAAAAUUUUGAAGAGCAAAUUACUCUACCGAGCACCGGCUUGCAUUUCGGUUACCAGUUGAUUAGCUUCAGUGAAGAGUCGCAAUUAGGUACAGCAGUAUUCUUCCAAAAAUCUCUUAAAUAAUUUUAUUCAGGAAAUAAAAUUAUCAAUCAAAUAAAAUAAAUAUAUACACUAUAUAUUUAUAACAAAUAUAGAAAAGAAAACGAAGUAAAGAAAAAGUGAUAUCAGUGAAGAAAAUAAAUAUUAAAAUAUACAGCUUAAAGAAAGCAAUUAAGGAAAUCGCAUAGCGAAGAAAAAAAAAAUUAUAAUACAAAGAAAAAGAAAACUUCCAUAAAUAAUAGUGUUGUCGAUUGUGAGUUAUUGGUUUAGUGCUUAAUAGCAUUGUCCAGUGUAAUUAAAUCGAGAUACUAAAUAUUGUAAUGAAAAGUGAAUACAUGUUCAAACAGAAAAGUCCAAUCCUUUAACAGAGUAUCACCUCUACUUCCGUUCAGGAAAAUUAAAGGAAUAUUAUUCCGGUAAAACAUACAACUAAAAACAUAGAAAAUAGAAAAUCUCAGUGUAUACAAAAAGUGUAAUAAAUGUUCAAAAAUAAAGAUACGAGCCUUUAAAGAGUAUCAUCUCUAAUUUCUUUUAAGAAAAAUAAAGGCAUUUUAUCAUUGCUAAAAAUAAUACUUUCAAAGUAAAAUAAAAAGAAAACCAAAGUGCAAACAAUUUUUGUGUUUGAUUAAUUAAAAAUAAGUUAGUUAGUAUUAACAACCUACCCUCGCUCGAACAUCGCUUGCACGAGAGAGAGAGAGAGAGACGGCAAUCAGUCCAAGGGUCCACAACGAAGAAAUACACUUCAAGGGUCCAAGGGCCCACAACGAAGGAGCCCCCCAGAAUAAAAGUAAUUGAAGAAGAAUUAUCACCGCAAAGGAACGAAAUUUAUAAGUGGCUAUUUUUUUUCUUUUCAACUCGAUAACCAAAUUUCAAUCAGCCUUGACUUAAGCGGAAAUAAGGAAGCCAUAAUUUCAUAACUGUAUGUAUCGGUUAACACAUAUUAUAUACAUAUAAAUAGAAAGUCUCUUGUUUAUUAUUUGUUGGCGCUAUCUGGCUCAUGUGUAAAAUGUUUCCAUUUCCAGAUGGUUAUUGCAAGCCCUAUUUUUGAGAUGUCACAUUAUGACUAAAGUUGCCUAAAUGGCAACGAAAAAAAAAUUAACAUUUUUAUUUUUGAAUUUCAUAUUUCAAGUAUCAUAGAACAUGAUCCUACCACAGUACUAAUGCAAUAGAAUUGGAUAUAAAAGAAAGUCCACAUCGAAACGUAUCCCUAAAUAAAUAAUUACGGCUUGAACUACACAUUUGAGCCGAAAAUUGCAUUGGUUAGUCCGAACGCCUAAUCCACGCAAACCAAAUAUUAAAUAAUUAAUAGUCGGACAUAACAUCAACGACGUCAUCUAGCCGUAUACUCAUCUUGCAUUCACACUUACCUGCGUACACCUAUUCACACUACAUUUAUAAGAGAGUAUCUUUCUAGAAAGCUAUUCCCGGAACUAUGUACUUACUCAUCAUGUUGUUGUCCAAAAUAAUGAGAUGGACCCAACGAUUGCAUCAGAAACCUAUGAAUUUCCCAUCAAAACUAGAGUAUAUAAACUGCCGAAAACCUAACGAAGGCAGUCAAUCGCUAAUCAGAACUAAACUCUGCCAGAUCUCGAGUCGAUCAAAAGUAAUCUCUCCGAAGUUCUACAGAUUUUAACAAAAGUACCGAUUAGUUCUAACGGCUUAAGUCCGAUUAGUACCGCGAAUCAGAGUUAAAAUUUUAAUCGUUGUCCACGUGACGGUCCGCCGCCUAGGCAAUCGGGAUCCUUGACCAAAUACCUAAAUUUUAAACUCGCAAAAAUCACGGUCGAUUCGACCCACCCAAAUCAGGAUCAUCGGUCUCGUGACGGUCUAUAGCCUAGGAAUUCAGAUUCCUAGAUCAUAAUCCUAAAAUCAAAUUCCAAUAUUCGCGUUCGUAUUCGGUAGAUAGGGGAGUGUAUCCGCUUGGCACCCCAGUAGCUCCGAGUCCAAAUAGUGCAGUUAAUUCCACUGAGGUAAAAUCACGACGCCACAGUGCAGUGUUCCGGCGAAUUAAAUAAAAACAAUUUCGCGAUCAUAAAAUUCAAAUUGGUGAAUUGUGAGAGAGUGUGAUCAGCGCAAAUUUGUAAACCACCUUCACCUGAGUGGUAAGUCAAAAUAUAUAUAUAUAUAUAUAUAUUGUUAAAUUCAUAAUAUACCCAAUG
This is a long non-coding RNA of Microplitis mediator, 3992 nucleotides long. RefSeq lists it as uncharacterized. The record is from RefSeq and is a predicted model, not a curated record. NCBI's taxonomy places the organism in Eukaryota, Metazoa, Arthropoda, Insecta, Hymenoptera, Braconidae. The transcript is spliced from 3 exons.